CGCAGUUCUUUUUUUAAGUAUCUGCAGAUUAGCCACUUUGUUAAGAGUACAUUUGUUCAUUUUCCCGAUCUCCCAGUCGUCACAGUGUUGGACAAACUUACUCUCACCUUUGUGAAUAAAGGUCUAAUCUCUCUACUUUAUUCUCAGUUGAUGUCUCUUGGAGAUCAAAGCCUAAACAAAUUUAAAAGUAGGUGGGAGGAUGAGCUUGGUAUAGACCUGCCGGAGGAAUAUUGGGCAAAGGCAUUGAAAAGAGUCAAUUCUUCAUCGUCAUGUGCCAGACUGGGGCUUAUACAAUUUAAGGUUUUGCAUAGAGUUCAUUUAAGCAAGGCAAGGCUUGCCAGCAUAUACCCUGGGACGGACGCUAGCUGCGAUAAAUGUUCUUUUUCUCCAGCCAAUCUAGUGCAUUCUUUCUGGUCUUGUCCCCAACUUUCAGGUUACUGGGCAAUAUUUUUAAAACGCUAAGCGAGGCUCUUGGAGUGAUGCUGGAACCCUGUCCACUUAUAGCAAUAUUUGGUGUGGCUGAUGAAACUCUGGGUUUAAAUGCAAACCAGUCGGACAUCAUUGCAUUCACAUCACUUUUGGCCCGUAGGAGAAUUUUGUUAGUUUGGAAAUCUUCUACUUCCCCAUCAGCUUCGGUCUGGCUGGAAGAUGUAAUGUUUUUUCUAAAGCUGGAGAAGAUCAAAUUUACACUCAGAGGGUCUGUGGAAAGGUUCUAUUUCAAGUGGGGACCGUUUUUGUCGUAUUUUGAGAGUCUGAAAGAGUUGCCCACUGGGUGAGUGUCCCUAACUGUAACUGAGACCCUCCCCCCUCUCUAUCCUUUCCUAGCCGUUUAUUUAUUUAUUCUUCUUUCUAUUCAUUGCCUAUUUAUUUAUCUCCUUUUUUCCCUAUUGAUAUUAGAUCGCCUCACAGAAUGGUUGACACAUUGUAAAUAUUUACUAUAUUUGAGCCACUUAAUGUGUUAUGGACAUAUGAGGGCCUAUGUUUUGUAAGAAUAUUGAUGCAUAGCUGUGAAAAUGUACAUUCAUGACUGAGAAAUGUUUUUUGUUUUUAUGAACAUACUAACUGUCAAGAGGUGUAUGGGGAGGGUGGGUG
Molecule: long non-coding RNA, 1092 nt
Organism: Clupea harengus (Atlantic herring)
Lineage: Eukaryota; Metazoa; Chordata; Actinopteri; Clupeiformes; Clupeidae
Source: Ensembl